RNAcentral lists this ribosomal RNA (301 nucleotides) under uncultured bacterium. RNAcentral describes it as "partial 16S ribosomal RNA". It matches the Rfam family "Bacterial small subunit ribosomal RNA", at positions 509 to 807 of the family's 1533-position model. The record is from RNAcentral.
CAGUCGCCACGGGAAUACGUAGGGUGCAAGCGUUAAUCGGAAUUACUGGGCGUAAAGCGUGCGCAGGCGGUCUGUUAAGACAGAUGUGAAAUCCCCGGGCUCAACCUGGAAACUGCAUUUGUGACUGGCAAGCUAGGGUGUGGCAGAGGGGGGUGGAAUUCCGCGUGUAGCAGUGAAAUGCGUAGAGAUGUGGAGGAACACCGAUGGCGAAGGCAGCCCCCUGGGCCAAUACUGACGCUCAUGCACGAAAGCGUGGGGAGCAAACAGGAUUAGAUACCCGAGUAGUCCCUGUCUCUUAUAC